Molecule: ribosomal RNA, 490 nt
Filed under: uncultured bacterium
Lineage: Bacteria
Description: partial 16S ribosomal RNA
Rfam family: Bacterial small subunit ribosomal RNA
Source: RNAcentral
GAUGAACGCUAGCUACAGGCUUAACACAUGCAAGUCGCGGGGCAGCAUGGGGGUUGCUUGCAAUCCCCGAUGGCGACCGGCGCACGGGUGAGUAACGCGUAUCCAACCUGCCCUUCACCACGGGAUAACCCGGCGAAAGUCGGACUAAUACCGUAUGUUGUCCAUUGACGUCAUCCGAUUUGGACGAAAGGUUUGGCGGUGAAGGAUGGGGAUGCGUCCGAUUAGCUGGACGGCGGGGUGACGGCCCACCGUGGCGACGAUCGGUAGGGGUUCUGAGAGGAAGGUCCCCCACACUGGAACUGAGACACGGUCCAGACUCCUACGGGAGGCAGCAGUGAGGAAUAUUGGUCAAUGGGCGUAAGCCUGAACCAGCCAAGUAGCGUGCAGGAUGACGGCCCUAUGGGUUGUAAACUGCUUUUAUGCGGGGAUAAAGUGGCCCACGUGUGGGUUUUUGCAGGUACCGCAUGAAUAAGGACCGGCUAAUUCCGUG